This 107-nucleotide small RNA is filed under the name Marmota monax (woodchuck). The record is from RNAcentral. Lineage: Eukaryota; Metazoa; Chordata; Mammalia; Rodentia; Sciuridae.
GCUGGGCAUGGUGGUGCACGCCUGUAAUCCCAGCAGUUUGGGAGGCUGAGCCAGGAGGAUGGCAAGUUCAAAGCCAGCCUCAGCAACUCAGCAAGACUCUGUCUCAA